CCUACGGGGUGCAGCAGUGAGGAAUAUUGGUCAAUGGGCGGGAGCCUGAACCAGCCAAGCCGCGUGAGGGAAGAAGGUACAGCGUAUCGUAAACCUCUUUUGUCAGGGAACAAAGGCGGGGACUAGUCCCCGGAUGAGGGUACCUGAAGAAAAAGCAUCGGCUAACUCCGUGCCAGCAGCCGCGGUAAUACGGAGGAUGCGAGCGUUAUCCGGAUUUAUUGGGUUUAAAGGGUGCGCAGGCGGCCUGUUAAGUCAGCGGGAAAAGCCCGGGGCUCAACCCCGGCGAGCCGUUGAAACGGGCGGGCUGGAGUUGGAGAGAAGUACGCGGAAUGCGCGGGGUAGCGGUGAAAUGCUUAGAUAUCGCGCAGAACCCCGAUUGCGAAGGCAGCGUACCGGCUCCACACUGACGCUGAGGCACGAAAGCGUGGGUAUCGAACAGGAUUAGAUACCCGAGUAGUC
This 459-nucleotide ribosomal RNA is filed under the name uncultured bacterium. RNAcentral's name for it is "partial 16S ribosomal RNA". It matches the Rfam family "Bacterial small subunit ribosomal RNA", at positions 338 to 795 of the family's 1533-position model. The record is from RNAcentral.